RNAcentral lists this ribosomal RNA (1050 nucleotides) under Salmonella enterica subsp. enterica serovar Infantis. RNAcentral's name for it is "bacterial SSU rRNA". It matches the Rfam family "Bacterial small subunit ribosomal RNA", at positions 1 to 1040 of the family's 1533-position model. Lineage: Bacteria; Pseudomonadati; Pseudomonadota; Gammaproteobacteria; Enterobacterales; Enterobacteriaceae. The record is from RNAcentral.
AAAUUGAAGAGUUUGAUCAUGGCUCAGAUUGAACGCUGGCGGCAGGCCUAACACAUGCAAGUCGAACGGUAACAGGAAGCAGCUUGCUGCUUUGCUGACGAGUGGCGGACGGGUGAGUAAUGUCUGGGAAACUGCCUGAUGGAGGGGGAUAACUACUGGAAACGGUGGCUAAUACCGCAUAACGUCGCAAGACCAAAGAGGGGGACCUUCGGGCCUCUUGCCAUCAGAUGUGCCCAGAUGGGAUUAGCUUGUUGGUGAGGUAACGGCUCACCAAGGCGACGAUCCCUAGCUGGUCUGAGAGGAUGACCAGCCACACUGGAACUGAGACACGGUCCAGACUCCUACGGGAGGCAGCAGUGGGGAAUAUUGCACAAUGGGCGCAAGCCUGAUGCAGCCAUGCCGCGUGUAUGAAGAAGGCCUUCGGGUUGUAAAGUACUUUCAGCGGGGAGGAAGGUGUUGUGGUUAAUAACCGCAGCAAUUGACGUUACCCGCAGAAGAAGCACCGGCUAACUCCGUGCCAGCAGCCGCGGUAAUACGGAGGGUGCAAGCGUUAAUCGGAAUUACUGGGCGUAAAGCGCACGCAGGCGGUCUGUCAAGUCGGAUGUGAAAUCCCCGGGCUCAACCUGGGAACUGCAUUCGAAACUGGCAGGCUUGAGUCUUGUAGAGGGGGGUAGAAUUCCAGGUGUAGCGGUGAAAUGCGUAGAGAUCUGGAGGAAUACCGGUGGCGAAGGCGGCCCCCUGGACAAAGACUGACGCUCAGGUGCGAAAGCGUGGGGAGCAAACAGGAUUAGAUACCCUGGUAGUCCACGCCGUAAACGAUGUCUACUUGGAGGUUGUGCCCUUGAGGCGUGGCUUCCGGAGCUAACGCGUUAAGUAGACCGCCUGGGGAGUACGGCCGCAAGGUUAAAACUCAAAUGAAUUGACGGGGGCCCGCACAAGCGGUGGAGCAUGUGGUUUAAUUCGAUGCAACGCGAAGAACCUUACCUGGUCUUGACAUCCACAGAAGAAUCCAGAGAUGGAUUUGUGCCUUCGGGAACUGUGAGACAGGUG